CCUACGGGAGGCAGCAGUGGGGAAUUUUGCACAAUGGGCGAAAGCCUGAUGCAGCAACGCCGCGUGUGUGAUGAAGGUCUUCGGAUUGUAAAGCACUUUCGACCGGGACGAAACACCGUCAGUUAAUACCUGACGGCCUGACGGUACCGGGAGAAGAAGCACCGGCUAACUCUGUGCCAGCAGCCGCGGUAAUACAGAGGGUGCAAGCGUUGUUCGGAAUUAUUGGGCGUAAAGCGCGUGUAGGCGGCUUUGCAAGUCGGGUGUGAAAGCCCUCGGCUCAACCGAGGAAGUGCGCCCGAAACUGCUUUGCUUGAGUAUCGGAGAGGGUCGCGGAAUUCCCCAAGUAGAGGUGAAAUUCGUAGAUAUGGGGAGGAACACCGGUGGCGAAGGCGGCGACCUGGACGAUAACUGACGCUGAGACGCGAAAGCGUGGGGAGCAA
This 440-nucleotide ribosomal RNA is filed under the name uncultured bacterium. Its description in RNAcentral is "bacterial SSU rRNA". It matches the Rfam family "Bacterial small subunit ribosomal RNA", at positions 338 to 771 of the family's 1533-position model. The record is from RNAcentral.